This is a long non-coding RNA of Ornithodoros turicata, 1453 nucleotides long. RefSeq lists it as uncharacterized. The record is from RefSeq and is a predicted model, not a curated record. The transcript is spliced from 3 exons. NCBI's taxonomy places the organism in Eukaryota, Metazoa, Arthropoda, Arachnida, Ixodida, Argasidae.
GGAGGUACCCUGCACUGGUAAGUUUCAAUGGGGUAGGUAUUCCCGCUGUUCUGUAUACGCUCCGCAAGUACGUUUCUGCGCAGCAGAAGAGGGCGAGGGCGUAAAAUGACGUGCGCGGCGGCGUGCCGCGCUCCCAUUCGCCAAGGCCCCUGUCGCCUCCACGCGCGAACCAGAGAAAGGUAAACAGCAGGGAACCCGCCAUACGUUUUGUGUGUUUUCAGCUUUGCUAAGUGAUACGGUGUUAAACACCUGCUGCAUUUAUGACUGUACUUCGUCGCAUUUGGAUGUAGUGUCACUUAUUUCUUUCCAAAGCGCACACGGAUUCGCUGACGGUGGGAGAACGCGAUUAACUGUUGCUGCUGCUGUCGGGUUCAAACGGCAUUCUACGACCGGGGGAGUGUUUGUGUGCGUGUGUGUUGUGCAGUGAUUUACGUUGACCACAGAAAGUGUUCGAACACGGUGCACUCCCAAGGCUCUGCUUUCGUGACAGUGACGAAGAGCGCCGCGGCAGGUCACAGUUUAAUGUGCUGUUUUGAGUGGUCGCAUAGUAGUUCUAACGUCUAAUAUCAGUGGAACGAACCAGGAACGAGCAUGAUCAUUGUCUGUUCGGGUGCAACUGCACCAGGCUCCAGUUGCUUCACAGUGGAAGACGGAAGUUCGUACGCGUGCUGAGGCACGGUUGUCGUCGUCCUGUCGUUCACGAUUUACGAGUCGUUUGCACGGCACAUUGGGCAGACAGAGAAAAGAAAGUGCUGCUCCACCUCCACAAAGGAUGGAUGCACAUUGCAAGGAAGAGAAAGGGACUAAUUAGAGUAAUCAUCAGCUCAUAAAUGAGAAUAUUAUUGAUGAACAAGAUAAUUAUUACCCAGCAUGAGUAAUUCAUGCCCUUGCCCAUCUGCUGAAGGAGGUGCAUCUGACCUUUUCACUUGUGUAAGUGCUCAUCUUAUUACAGGUGUUUUACAAUAGAUAUAUUGGGAAGUGUAUACACACAUCUAUUUUAGGCAAGAUAUCCUUGUAGGCUCCGAAUUGUGAAUUACAUAUGACAGCAGUUUCUCAUAUAAGGCAACUACCCUUCUGCGAAGAAAAAAGAAAAAUCUAAAGUACAUGUACUGCACUCUAUGCCUCAGCCAGAUGCACUUCAAAAGGCGCGUCUCCCCCUGCUUUCUCAUGAAAAAGCAGAAAAGUGGGUGCCGAUAUGCCAUAUUCCUAUGCACUGAUAUGUUAAUGUAUAGCGACAGAUGAACUUCGAAUAACUGUUUUGUUUCCUGUUUAUAGGAGUUGGAAGUAUACGCCAGGUGAUAGUUGCAUUGGGUGUGUGGCAACCUUAUAAUGCAAGAAUGUACUUGUACCUGUGGCACCUUACCAGUUGUUUGAUGAUAUUAAGCACUGAAAGCUUCCUUUUUCUGUUCUUGCCAAUUUGUAUCAGAGACACAAUAAAUGUUUCUUAUUUAGA